Molecule: long non-coding RNA, 947 nt
Filed under: Heterocephalus glaber (naked mole-rat)
Lineage: Eukaryota; Metazoa; Chordata; Mammalia; Rodentia; Bathyergidae
Description: lncRNA (ENSHGLG00000036807.1)
Source: RNAcentral
AGCUACCCUUACCUCUCGUGUGGCACAAACCCUGUCAGUCACACACACACACACACACACACACACACACACGCACACAGAGUGGUCCACACUCUCAGACCCUCGCUCUUCACACCCAUACCCGUACAGCCAAACAGGCACAGGGAGCGCCAGACUUGGCUCAAGAUUCCUCCCCAUCACAGGCACCCGAUGUCAUCUUUCUGAAGGAGACUCCAAGCUGCCCCCACCUCUGCGCUCCUUCCCUGAUCACGGAUGCUGUCAGCUCUCCCUCACCUGGCACUCAUCUGUCUCCCCCCCAGUCCACAUGGAGGGGACCCCUCGAUGUCCGUCCCUCCCUUCCCACCACCCCACCCACCGUCAUUUCCAGGCAGCAGUUGCUAGGGACCCUUGUGCCAACCCCGGGCACCCACUGGCUGCCUCUGCAGAAGUGGAUUUAAGGACACUGGUGGGGAGAGACCCCGCCAAGGCCACCAUCCACACUUCAACCUCUGCUGCUCCCCCAAACCCAGGCUCUUGAGAAUGUACUUGAGGAGAAGGCCAACCUUCCGGCGGGUCGUGAGUAGGGCUUCCUCGCUGCCUCCCUCCCCAGAUCCCCGCUUUUCCAUGCCACUGUCAGCAGCCGCCUCCAGGCUGAUGUCCCGCUGGAGCUCGUCCUCCUCCAGGGCCUUGAUACGGACCCGAUGGGCAUCCUCAGCCAACUCAUUGAGGCAGCCCUGGAGCAUGGUGUAGACGGUGCCGAAGCUGAUGCCACCAGCCACCAGUGUGCCGAACGUAGGGAUGCCCCUCUCAAAGGCACGGGCCACCUUCAUGGCGCCAUCGGCCGACGGUGAGUAGAGCCGCAGGACGGUCUCCGGCGAGACCUCGUUGGCUAGCAGGGAGCGGGUGACGGAGAGCAGGUCGCCCGGCUGCUUGCCCACCUGUUCGGCCAGCUUGGCCAGCGAGUCGUC